This is a long non-coding RNA of Carassius gibelio (silver crucian carp), 1658 nucleotides long. RefSeq lists it as uncharacterized. The transcript is spliced from 2 exons. Lineage: Eukaryota; Metazoa; Chordata; Actinopteri; Cypriniformes; Cyprinidae. The record is from RefSeq and is a predicted model, not a curated record.
UUUAACCAAAACUUUUGACAUUUGUCAACACUGAAUUUUAGUGUAUGACCAAAGACAGAAAUUCCCUAACAUUGCACUGGGGUUCACAGGCAUUAAUAACAGUCUACAGGAAUCUCAUACAAGUGGUCAUCAACUUGGAGUGGGUAAAUUUUGAUAAUAGUGUAAUUUCCAAGUGUAAUUUGAGGGGUAAGAUUAAUUCUUAUAGUAACAGACAACAGUAACCGAAAAUCCUGCUGGCUGUGCCAAAUGAAAAACACUUGUUCUACAUGAGCUGAUCAGAGUGAUGUUUAGAGUUUUACAGUCAACAGUACAUCUACCUGCAGGCUGUGGGCAGCAAACCAAAUAGCAUCACUGAAUAAAAUGCAACUUUUCAUAGAACCGCAUAAGAGAGAAUCCAUCUGAAAAUAAUUAAACAAUUUCCCGACCGGUGGUGAGUGGAGAUAGCAGUUUCCCGUAGCUUUCGUGAUUGCAUUGCUGGUCUCUUUUGGAGUUUUCUCAUCAUGGUUCCUGAUGACAUUGGUAUCACAUCGAUAGAUCCAGGUUUUUUAUAUAAAUAAAGAAAUUAAGAAAAAAUGGGAAUGUUUUGAAUACCCUUAAGGCUAUAAUGAAAUUACGGUUAUGGCAAAUGUCUCAUUACGUCUUCAAGAGGCAUUUGUGAUGAAUAAUGAGGCGGUAAGCUACGUUAGGAGCUAGAGCCUGGAAUUCUACUUUAAACAAGCCUUUAAGCCAAUUAAAAUGCGUAAAAGGCUGAGAAUUUAACACACUAUGCAAAGCCGACACUUAAUUUUCAUUAUGUAAUGGAGUGUAGUAGCAAGCAUUGUUUAAAAUUACCAGCCAGUUUGCCUUUGACAUUGAGAGCCACAGUCUUCUGAAAUUCAAACAUAUUAAUUUAGCUAUUUCUCUCCGAAAAGACUCCAGUCACAGAAAACUGAUAUUUUCAUUUGAAUGCAACCAACUCGGAGCAUUUCCUAUCAGAACGCCUCUGCCUCAUUUCCCAAAACAAUCAUCUCUCAGGGGUUGUGGAGUGGAGGCAGGCCCAGUGGGGGCAAUUGAUACUUCUAUUGCACACAGAGGGCUUGUGUAAAUAUCUUAGCAUGAAGUGACUCACCAUUGUCUUGGCUCUUGUACUGUACACACAGGGUUUGGUUUGGAUUAAGACCCUGGGUUUGCUUUAGAAGAACUGUCUUUCACACAUAAUCAGCUGCUUCUGGCUGCCUUUCAAAUUUAAUUUAAAUCCUAUUUUUUACUAUUACUAUCACAAUAAUGAUGGAUCACUGGCCAGUGUGAGACAGUUCUGAGGCUAAUGAAUAUUUUAAAUUUUUUGAUUUAGUUGAUAUCCAUUUUUAUGCAAUGCAACUUAUUCUUCUCCUGAUAUUAUCAGAACGAAAUUUUGAAAAUGACUUGGAAAAAACGCCAAUCCAUAAUGGAGCUACAAGCAGCAUUAUGUAAUUUUUUAUUUGAUGUGCUCUGUGUGACCUAGUUUCUGUCUCCCGUUUGAUUAUGUCAUUUAGUUCAGGUGUGUCUCGUUUACGAAUGUACUUAAGUCCCUGUCUGUUCAGUUAGUGUUUGUCCGGUCUACUAUGUCCCUAUGUGUGCUCCAGUCUGAUUUGUCCUGGAUUUACCCUUGUGUGGAUUUAUUAAAGACUAUUUGCAUUCAU